GCAGGCGCUCCCGGAGCGCGGCGGUCGGCUCUCGGCGAUACCCGGAUGGAAGUGUAAUGGCCGCCAUCAGGGACUCGCAGGCAAUGGGGACCACGACAGAUAUCAUCUCUUCUUUUGAUCACUGUUCCUGAUUGUGGCUUUGUCCAGGCAUUAAAUUGUGUGCCUUUUGUUCCUUGAAGAAAGAGCUGGUGCUAGCAACCCCCAACUCUGCUUGCCCUCUGGACCCAGAUCAAAGCUCUGGAUUCAUCCUCUCUUCCCCAUACCUCAGCUGGAGACAUCUGUUGUCCCAGGGGGCUCCAUACAAUCUUCCUUUCAAGCCCUUGCUUUCUCUUCCAAGGGUGAGGUUCCUGGAUGGUCAGCUCUGAAUAAGCGGUGUGUUAAUGUGUAUGUCCUGCCUCCGCCUUCAGAAUGUAAGCUGCAAUAGGAUGAAGAAACUAAGACACAGAGAUUGACACUUUUCUAGAGUAAUGUAAACAACCCCAUUUUGCAGAUGAAACAAGCUAGAGAGGAUCAAGUCCCCAGCUGGGAGUAACAGUGUUGUGUUCGAGCCCAGGUGACUCAGACAGGAAGGCCCGGCUUUAACCUGAUAUUACUCUUCAGGACUUCAUAGUACUUACUUGGCAGAGUGAAGACUCGAACACACACGCAUCACCAAGGAAUCGAGAGGAAUGGCCAGUGAACCAGAUCGAAAGUACCUGAGCUACAGUCUGGAACACACGGCACUCAGUUCACUCCGUACGCCCCGGCAUGUGCCUCUCCGUAGCCACCGGAGAGCCCAAAGCAGAGGCAGGCGACGUGGUGUGGUACUUUGAAAGAAACACCAGCCUGAAACCUUAGCCCUUUCGUGUUAUCUAUCAGGGCACUGUCCAGAGCUUCUAAAGGAUGACAGAGGCUUAUUCAAAGACACACGCAAGUAG
This is a long non-coding RNA of Molossus molossus (Pallas's mastiff bat), 917 nucleotides long. RefSeq lists it as uncharacterized. The transcript is spliced from 8 exons. NCBI's taxonomy places the organism in Eukaryota, Metazoa, Chordata, Mammalia, Chiroptera, Molossidae. The record is from RefSeq and is a predicted model, not a curated record.